Non-coding RNA from Podarcis lilfordi (Lilford's wall lizard), 73 nucleotides. NCBI's taxonomy places the organism in Eukaryota, Metazoa, Chordata, Lepidosauria, Squamata, Lacertidae. The record is from the annotation of a GenBank genome assembly.
GCUGGUGUAACUCAGUUGGUAGAGCAUGAGUCUCUUAAUCUCAGGAUCAUGGGUUCAAGCCCCAUGUUAGGCA